Molecule: ribosomal RNA, 701 nt
Filed under: Candidatus Planktophila sp.
Lineage: Bacteria; Bacillati; Actinomycetota; Actinomycetes; Candidatus Nanopelagicales; Candidatus Nanopelagicaceae
Description: bacterial SSU rRNA
Rfam family: Bacterial small subunit ribosomal RNA
Source: RNAcentral
GACGAACGCUGGCGGCGUGCUUAACACAUGCAAGUCGAGCGAUGAGAUCACUUCGGUGAAGGAUUAGCGGCGAACGGGUGAGGAACACGUGAAGAAUCUGCCUUCAACUCUGGGAUAACUCCGGGAAACCGGGGCUAAUACCGGAUAUGAGCCUUGAUCGCAUGAUCGGGGCUGGAAAGUUUUUCGGUUGAAGAUGACUUCGCGGCCUAUCAGCUUGUUGGUGAGGUAAUGGCUCACCAAGGCGACGACGGGUAGCCGGCCUGAGAGGGCGACCGGCCACACUGGGACUGAGACACGGCCCAGACUCCUACGGGAGGCAGCAGUGGGGAAUAUUGGGCAAUGGAGGAAACUCUGACCCAGCGACGCCGCGUGCGGGAUGAAGGCCUUCGGGUUGUAAACCGCUUUCAGCAGGGAAUAAGCGCAAGUGAAGGUACCUGCAGAAGAAGCACCGGCUAACUAUGUGCCAGCAGCCGCGGUAAUACAUAGGGUGCAAGCGUUGUCCGGAAUUAUUGGGCGUAAAGAGCUCGUAGGUGGUUUGUUACGUCGGUUGUGAAAUUCAGGGGCUCAACCCCUGACUUGCAGCCGAUACGGGCAAGCUAGAGUUUGGUAGGGGAGACUGGAAUUCCUGGUGUAGCGGUGGAAUGCGCAGAUAUCAGGAGGAACACCGAUGGCGAAGGCAGGUCUCUGGGCCAAUACUGACA